Molecule: ribosomal RNA, 440 nt
Filed under: uncultured bacterium
Lineage: Bacteria
Description: bacterial SSU rRNA
Rfam family: Bacterial small subunit ribosomal RNA
Source: RNAcentral
UGGGGAAUUUUGGACAAUGGGCGCAAGCCUGAUCCAGCUAUUCCGCGUGUGGGAUGAAGGCCCUCGGGUUGUAAACCACUUUUGUAGAGAACGAAAAGACACCUUUUAAUAAAGGGUGUUGCUGACGGUACUCUAAGAAUAAGCACCGGCUAACUACGUGCCAGCAGCCGCGGUAAUACGUAGGGUGCGAGCGUUAAUCGGAAUUACUGGGCGUAAAGGGUGCGCAGGCGGUUGAGUAAGACAGGUGUGAAAUCCCCGAGCUUAACUCGGGAAUGGCAUAUGUGACUGCUCGACUAGAGUGUGUCAGAGGGAGGUGGAAUUCCACGUGUAGCAGUGAAAUGCGUAGAUAUCACGCAGAACUCCGAUUGCGAAGGCAGCGUACCGGCGCCCAACUGACGCUGAAGCACGAAGGCGUGGGUAUCGAACAGGAUUAGAUACCC